GAGAACCCUGUCUGAAAUCCUGGGGAGCCACUGCCAGGCUAGAAGAUGAACUAGAUGGACUAAUGAUCUGUUUCAACAUUUUCUGAAAAUUGGGAAAGACUACAGCCCUUGGCUAAUGUACGUGACCCCUUCUUCAUGGUCAGACUGUGAUCCUCGAAAAUGGAGUAACAGAGUAAUCCUAACUAUGGAAAGCCACCGAAUGCCAGUAGUAGCAACAGUUUACCUUGCCAAGUCCAACUGGAGACUAAGAAUUGUCUAGGUCAUAAAAGUGGAAUCUGAGGAUGAACCUCAAAGAGAACCAGUUCAUCAGACAUUAAGACAGCCCCCACCUCUGUGCCUUAUACAUGCAUGAACACAUAAGAGGGGUCCUGCUCAACAAGGCCAACAGUCCAUCUAAACCAACAUCUUGUUCCUCAUAAUGGCCAACCAAAUGCCUCUGGAAAGCCCACAAAGAAGACAGGAAGCAAUAGUCCUCACAUAUGCUCCCCAGCAUGCUGCCUCUGAACCUAGAGAUUGCUUAUAACCAUUGUGACUAGUAACCACUGAUAGAAUUGCUUUCUUCCAUGAAUCCAUGGUUCGCAGAGUCCCCAGAUAUUCUUGGAGUAUGACUUCCAUUGUUCUGAGCCAGCAUAGCCAGUGGUCAGACAUGAUGGGAAUUCUAGCCCAACAUAAUCUGGAGUCCCAAGGAUGAAGAAUACUGAUCUACUACCCUUUUAAAGCCAUCUACGCUAAUGGCCACCACAUCUUGUGAAAGUGAAAUCCAUAAAUUAAUUAUACACUAUGUCCUUUUGCCUGUCCUAUAGCUCUUGUCAAUCAGUUUCAUUGGAUGAUCCCAAUUUAUGGAAUUAUCAGAGGAGAAAAAAAAUAGACUUUGGGUUGUAUUCAACAUAGUGCUAACACAAAUGUUCCAUCAACGCAAUGAUUUCUCCUUGUGCAAUGGAAUGUUCUCCCCCUCUCCUCCCCCUAAAUCUGUUCUGGGGAUUCUCCCAACCUUCUAGAGCAUAUCUGGGGAUGCAAGGGGAGAGGAGGCAGGGAAGACCCAUUGUGAAAGCAGAAGUCAUUCCGCUCAUGCAAUUAUUUUGCUGACCAUCACCUUUUCUCCAUGCCUUUUUAAAUGUUAUAACCCUCUAUCAUGUCUCCCCAUAGUCACCUUCCCCGUCCCCCUAUCUCCAAAUGUUCUAGCCUUUCCCCAUAUGGAUCUUAGCCUGACAAAAGAUCCAUGCUGGUAUCUAAUACCUCAAGAAAUAAUCCCACUACCUCCCAUUUGGAUGAGAGUAGCUUUCUCCAUGAGAAACACUGUAAGGUUGACCUUCUCCAGCCUACCUACACCAUAUCGCUUUUUGUUGUUAACUCCACGGAUGUCAAGAGCGUCAUUGUUGUGCAUAACAGCUCCUGUUACUUGGUAACAUUUCCAAAUAUCAUAGGAGAGAGUCAAAAUGACAUAAAACUGAAAUUCAACACCAUUUAAACAGCAAAAAAGCUACAUAAGGGAAUGAAAAAUACAGAACAGGCUGUUGUAAUGCACUUGUCAUCAAACCACCCACUUCCUUUUCAUAACCACUCUAUACACCUGUGCAUAUAGAAAUACCCUGUGGCACUCAACGCUUUAUUUUAUUUUAAAGGCUGUGCAGA
Rhineura floridana is the source of this 1632-nucleotide long non-coding RNA. RefSeq lists it as uncharacterized. The record is from RefSeq and is a predicted model, not a curated record. The transcript has 3 exons. Lineage: Eukaryota; Metazoa; Chordata; Lepidosauria; Squamata; Rhineuridae.